Molecule: transfer RNA, 73 nt
Filed under: Felis catus (domestic cat)
Lineage: Eukaryota; Metazoa; Chordata; Mammalia; Carnivora; Felidae
Rfam family: tRNA
About the family: Transfer RNA (tRNA) molecules are approximately 80 nucleotides in length. Their secondary structure includes four short double-helical elements and three loops (D, anti-codon, and T loops).
Source: Rfam by way of RNAcentral
AUCUGGCUGGCUUAGUCUGUGGAGCAUGAGACUCUUGAUCUCGGGGUUGUGAGUUCAAGUCCCACGUUGGGUC